UGGGGAAUAUUGCACAAUGGGGGAAACCCUGACCCAGCAACGCCGCGUGAAGGAAGAAGGCUUUCGGGUUGUAAACUUCUUUUACCAGGGACGAAGGACGUGACGGUACCUGAGUAAGAAGCUCCGGCUAAAUACGUGCCAGCAGCCGCGGUAAUACGUAUGGAGCAAGCGUUAUCCGGAUUUACUGGGUGUAAAGGGAGUGUAGGCGGCUUUGCAAGUCAGAUGUGAAAGCCCGGGGCUCAACCCCGGGACUGCAUUUGAAACUGUGAAGCUGGAGUGUCGGAGAGGUAAGUGGAAUUCCUAGUGUAGCGGUGAAAUGCGUAGAUAUUAGGAAGAACACCAGUGGCGAAGGCGGCUUACUGGACGAUUACUGACGCUGAGGCUCGAAAGCGUGGGGAGCAAACAGGAUUAGAUACCCUGGUAGU
This 425-nucleotide ribosomal RNA is filed under the name uncultured Lachnospiraceae bacterium. RNAcentral's name for it is "bacterial SSU rRNA". It matches the Rfam family "Bacterial small subunit ribosomal RNA", at positions 355 to 794 of the family's 1533-position model. The record is from RNAcentral. Lineage: Bacteria; Bacillati; Bacillota; Clostridia; Lachnospirales; Lachnospiraceae.